This 545-nucleotide long non-coding RNA is filed under the name Physcomitrium patens. RNAcentral's name for it is "long non-coding RNA (PPAT_LNC002142)". Lineage: Eukaryota; Viridiplantae; Streptophyta; Bryopsida; Funariales; Funariaceae. The record is from RNAcentral.
AAAUUAGUGUGUAGCUUGAUCUUUAAGUUCUUCAAUACUAUGCCAAUUUUUACAUCAAUCUGACUAUUAGAUCUUUAGAUAUCAUAGAAAUCCUAUCCAACCUCUAACUGCCACCUUCCGAAAUCCUCUUGUGCUAAAAACUAGAUAUCUCUAAACCACGCUGUUAGAUUAUCACAAAAUUUUCUAUACACUUAGCACACUCAAUAAUCCAAAUUGUUUCAAACUUUUAAUCAUAGAUGUUACACCAAUUGCACAAACUAGCCAAAAUUGUUAGCCCUAAUUAUGUUAUAUAAAACCCAAAUCAUUGAUACAAAUCCUAACUUCGAACAACAAUUGCUAAGUUCUCCAAAACUUUCUCAAAACAAUUCUUAUGUUUCUGAAAAGAACUUCAAGCUAGCUCUCAAACCCUCACCUUUGAUCUUCAAAUGACGUCCUAACUUGCCCUGGGCAGUCGAUUUAGUGACCAAAGGUCUGAUUUCGAUCCUAUCUCACAAAUGGUCGACCCCUGGGUAUCAAUCUAAUUUAUCUUAAGGAGUUUUUAGCCC